Molecule: long non-coding RNA, 215 nt
Filed under: Lathyrus oleraceus (garden pea)
Lineage: Eukaryota; Viridiplantae; Streptophyta; Magnoliopsida; Fabales; Fabaceae
Description: Pisum sativum (pea) long non-coding RNA (PSAT_LNC009822)
Source: RNAcentral
AAGUACCAACCGGAUCUACAACAGGCACUUCCACCUUCUUUCCAACAACUGAUUCUUCUUUAUCCUUUGGGAACACCGACCCAAACACUCAGACACUGUGGGUCACCUUGGUAACAUCAACAAUGCUAAUUACAGAGCUAUUCGUAGGAAACGGGACCUCUUGACCACCUUCUAUCAUUCUAGCAUUAUACUGAUACAACACAGCUUUAUCAUAU